This is a small nuclear RNA of Pteronotus mesoamericanus, 164 nucleotides long. RefSeq annotates it as U1 spliceosomal RNA. The record is from RefSeq and is a predicted model, not a curated record. NCBI's taxonomy places the organism in Eukaryota, Metazoa, Chordata, Mammalia, Chiroptera, Mormoopidae. The transcript has a single exon.
AUACUUACCUGGAAGGGCAGAUACCGUGAUCAAGAAGGUGGUUUUCCCAGGGUGAGGCUCACUCAUCACACUCCAGGUGUGCCGACCUCCGUGGUUUCCCCAAAUGUGGGAAACUCAGCUGCAUAAUUUGUGGUACUGGGGGACUGCGUUUGCCCUCUCCCCAG